Tupaia belangeri (northern tree shrew) is the source of this 98-nucleotide small nucleolar RNA. The record is from Ensembl. Lineage: Eukaryota; Metazoa; Chordata; Mammalia; Scandentia; Tupaiidae.
AUCCUUCUGUGGUUCGUAAGUGUGAUGAUUGGGUGUUCCCGCCAUUGUAUGAGCUGUGUUCCCCUCGAACCUUGUUACGGCGUCAGACCCGUCUGACG